This 491-nucleotide ribosomal RNA is filed under the name uncultured bacterium. RNAcentral's name for it is "partial 16S ribosomal RNA". It matches the Rfam family "Bacterial small subunit ribosomal RNA", at positions 29 to 507 of the family's 1533-position model. The record is from RNAcentral.
GUGAACGCUGGCGGUAGGCCUAACACAUGCAAGUCGAACGGCAGCACAGUAAGAGCUUGCUCUUACGGGUGGCGAGUGGCGGACGGGUGAGGAAUACAUCGGAAUCUACUUUUUCGUGGGGGAUAACGUAGGGAAACUUACGCUAAUACCGCAUACGACCUACGGGUGAAAGCAGGGGAUCUUCGGACCUUGCGCGAUAGAAUGAGCCGAUGUCGGAUUAGCUAGUUGGCGGGGUAAAGGCCCACCAAGGCGACGAUCCGUAGCUGGUCUGAGAGGAUGAUCAGCCACACUGGAACUGAGACACGGUCCAGACUCCUACGGGAGGCAGCAGUGGGGAAUAUUGGACAAUGGGCGCAAGCCUGAUCCAGCCAUACCGCGUGGGUGAAGAAGGCCUUCGGGUUGUAAAGCCCUUUUGUUGGGAAAGAAAAGCAGCAGGUUAAUACCCCGCUGUUCUGACGGUACCCAAAGAAUAAGCACCGGCUAACUUCGUG